CCUACGGGAGGCAGCAGUGAGGAAUAUUGGUCAAUGGACGAGAGUCUGAACCAGCCAAGUAGCGUGAAGGAUGACUGCCCUAUGGGUUGUAAACUUCUUUUAUAUGGGAAUAAAACGUUCCACGUGUGGGAUUUUGUAUGUACCAUAUGGAUAAGGAUCGGCUAACUCCGUGCCAGCAGCCGCGGUAAUACGGAGGAUCCGAGCGUUAUCCGGAUUUAUUGGGUUUAAAGGGAGCGUAGGUGGAUUGUUAAGUCAGUUGUGAAAGUUUGCGGCUCAACCGUAAAAUUGCAGUUGAAACUGGCAGUCUUGAGUACAGUAGAGGUGGGCGGAAUUCGUGGUGUAGCGGUGAAAUGCUUAGAUAUCACGAAGAACUCCGAUUGCGAAGGCAGUUCACUGGACUGCAACUGACACUGAGGCUCGAAAGUGUGGGUAUCAAACAGGAUUAGAUACCCCUGUAGUC
RNAcentral lists this ribosomal RNA (460 nucleotides) under uncultured bacterium. RNAcentral's name for it is "partial 16S ribosomal RNA". It matches the Rfam family "Bacterial small subunit ribosomal RNA", at positions 338 to 795 of the family's 1533-position model. The record is from RNAcentral.